RNAcentral lists this ribosomal RNA (409 nucleotides) under uncultured bacterium. RNAcentral's name for it is "bacterial SSU rRNA". It matches the Rfam family "Bacterial small subunit ribosomal RNA", at positions 958 to 1369 of the family's 1533-position model. The record is from RNAcentral.
AACGCGAAGAACCUUACCAGCCCUUGACAUGCCGGCUACUUGCAGAGAUGCAAGGUUCCCUUCGGGGACCGGGACACAGGUGCUGCAUGGCUGUCGUCAGCUCGUGUCGUGAGAUGUUGGGUUAAGUCCCGCAACGAGCGCAACCCUCGCCCUUAGUUGCCAGCAUUAAGUUGGGCACUCUAAGGGGACUGCCGGUGAUAAGCCGAGAGGAAGGUGGGGAUGACGUCAAGUCCUCAUGGCCCUUACGGGCUGGGCUACACACGUGCUACAAUGGUGGUGACAGUGGGCAGCGAGCACGCGAGUGUGAGCUAAUCUCCAAAAGCCAUCUCAGUUCGGAUUGCACUCUGCAACUCGAGUGCAUGAAGUUGGAAUCGCUAGUAAUCGCGGAUCAGCAUGCCGCGGUGAAUAC